Molecule: ribosomal RNA, 201 nt
Filed under: uncultured bacterium
Lineage: Bacteria
Description: partial 16S ribosomal RNA
Rfam family: Bacterial small subunit ribosomal RNA
Source: RNAcentral
AGUGCAGAAUAACCCUGCGAAAGCAGAGCUAAUACUGCAUGUGGUUGUCGGAUGGCAUCAUCUGACAACUAAAGUCGCAAGACGCUCUCAGAUGGGCCCGCGGCCUAUUAGCUAGUUGGUGAGGUAACGGCCCACCAAGGCUGUGAUGGGUAGCUGGUCUGAGAGGACGGACAGCCACACUGGGACUGAGACACGGCCCAG